Molecule: long non-coding RNA, 302 nt
Filed under: Homo sapiens (human)
Lineage: Eukaryota; Metazoa; Chordata; Mammalia; Primates; Hominidae
Description: HSALNT0104167
Source: RNAcentral
UUUUUUUUUUUUUUUUUUUUGAGACGGAGUUUUGCUCUUAUUGCCCUGGCUGGAGUGCAAUGGCGUGAUCUCGGCUCACUACAACCUCCACCUCCCGGGUUCAAGCAGUUCUCCUGCCUCAGCCUCCUGAGUAGCUGGGAUUACAGGUGCAUGCCACCACGCCCAGCUAAUUUUGUAUUUUUAGUAGAGACAGGUUUCUCCAUGUUGGUCAAGCUGGUCUCGAACUCCCAACCUCAGGUGAUUUGCCCGCCUCGGCCUCCCAAAGUGCUGGGAUUACAGGCAUGAGCCACCGUGCCCAGCCU